GCCUCUCUUCCGAAGCACAUCCCUGUCUCUUCUCCGUGGUUGUGCAUGGAGGGGCCGAUGGAGGCAGGCCGUACUGGCGACCAGCUUUUUAACAGCGCCCGCCCGGCCUCAGAACCGCCCAGAGAGGAGCCGCCCUGGACGGACAGAGGGCUGAGGGCCGAGCAUCCAGCUGGUCGUCCGGCUGCCCAGCAGUCUCCGACGCCGCGGCUGUCCGUCCGCUGCCCGCCUGCCUGGCAUCUCUUGAUCCUCCCGUUUGAAAUAACUUUGGACCUACAGAAGAGCUGUAAAGACAGCACAAAGAGUCCUGUAUACCCUUCACCCGGCUUCCUCUAAUGUCCUUUGCUUUUUCCAGGAUCCAAGCCAGAUACCACAUUGCUUUUAGUUGUCCUGUCUCCGUCUCCUCCCCCUGUGACAGUUCCUCAGGUAAGCUUUCCUUGUGUUUCAUGACCUUGACAUUUUUGAAGAGCACUUGUCAGGCAUUUUGUAGAAUAUCCCUCAAUGUGCGUUUUUCUCAUAUUUUCUCAGUAUUAGACUGAAGGUAUGGGCUUUGGGGGGUUGUCCUACUCUUUGCAUCAUGUUAGGGGAUACAUAAUAGUGACAUUGAUGACGUCAAUGUGAUAUUGGUGAUGUCAGGAGUGAUCAGUGGUCACUGGGUUAAGGUGGUGUUGGCCACAUCCUCCACUGUCAAGAUUCCAUUUUCCUUUUUCCUUCUCUGUCAGAAGUGAAUCACUGAGUCUAGCUCGCAGAGGAGAGGGAAAUUAAGCACCACCUCCAGCACCACAGGAUUUAUGCUAGAUGUUCCCCAUUGCAUAUCGGUCAUUCCUUUCUCUGACAGUGAGAAGCCUGGCUCUUGUUAUCAAGAGUAUAUUUACCUAUUUGUCCAAACUGAGUGUACAUGUAAAGUAGUCUCAGAAUUGCUAAGCUAUGCCUUAUGAGAAACCAGUUUACCACCCCGCGUACAGUAUUUGUGCGGUUAUUUUUGUCUUUAGCAUUAUAGUAUCAGGUAAAAACAUCAUGUGUGAAGUUAUUUGGGUCAGGUCAUUUCUUCUCCACCCAUUUUAGUGCCUUUAAAACCUUUCUUUUAGGGAGGAAAAGGGAGAGAGGGAGAGAGAGAGAGAGAGAGAGAGAGAGAGAGAGAGAGAGAGAACCAUCAAUCGGCUGCCUCCUGCAUGCACCCCGACUGGGGAUCCAAUCUAAAACCUGGGUAUGUGCCCUACUGGGAAUCGAACCCGCCACUUUUUGGUGAACAGGCUAAUGCUCCAACUAACUGAGCCACACUGGGCAGGGAUUUAGUGUCUUUACUAGCAUGUCAUACAUUUGUUAUUUACAUUUACCCUAACUAUUUCAUAUUUUAUGGUCUUAUUUUAAAUGAUAUGUAAAAUUUUCUUAUUGUUUUUGCUAGUAUAUAGAAAUAUACUUAUAACCUUGCUAAGCUCACUUAUUUUUUUAGUAGAUUUUUUUUGUAGAUUAUUUAGGAUUUUCUGUAGAGGUGAU
This is a long non-coding RNA of Myotis daubentonii (Daubenton's bat), 1494 nucleotides long. RefSeq lists it as uncharacterized. The transcript is spliced from 3 exons. NCBI's taxonomy places the organism in Eukaryota, Metazoa, Chordata, Mammalia, Chiroptera, Vespertilionidae. The record is from RefSeq and is a predicted model, not a curated record.